This 27-nucleotide non-coding RNA is filed under the name Mus musculus (house mouse). Lineage: Eukaryota; Metazoa; Chordata; Mammalia; Rodentia; Muridae. The record is from RNAcentral.
UUGUAUUGUUUUGUGGUGUUUGCCUGU